Non-coding RNA from Podarcis lilfordi (Lilford's wall lizard), 5489 nucleotides. Lineage: Eukaryota; Metazoa; Chordata; Lepidosauria; Squamata; Lacertidae. The record is from the annotation of a GenBank genome assembly.
AACCACUUUAAAUGAACAUCUCAUGAGUCAACACGGAACAUGUCCUCCCACCAUGUUUAUGUAUGGCCAGCUCCAUCCUACUUUAAAAUGAGUAGUAGAUAUGUUAUUAUACUCAGAAAACUUUGUAUGUAAAACUGUAUGGGGCAAGGGAGGCAAGUUGUAAGGUUGAUGUUAAUUGUGCCACUCACUCUUCGGCUAAAGCAUACUUUGACUUCACAAUGUGAGUUUAGAGUUGUGGCAUCAGUUCUAUCAAAUCCCUUUCCCUUUGAAGUGAAACACAUCCCAACAUUGCUAUGUUUUCAAGGUUAGCUGAAAAGCUUUCUUUCCACCCAAACCUUUCCAAAUUGUUUUAUUUUUGCACCUUUUAAUUAUUGUUGCAUCUUGUGGGUAUUUUAUGAUCUGUAUUAUCGUUUAUAUUUACGUACUCCACUUUCUAUGCUGGUUUAUUGUUUGUUUAUUUAUUAUUAUUUAUGAAUUUAUGAAUCAUCCUCCACAUAUGUCUCAAGGCAAUUUACAGUCAUUUAAAAGAAAGCACACACAAUUCCAAACUACAGCAAUAAAAUAAUACAGAACUAGCACUGAACUUCUACUGUGUUUUGGCAUGUUUAUACUUUAUUGGCAGGUAGAGUUUGCUUUUAUAUUGGAUGUAUUAUUUUCAUUGGAUAUUAUUACUGAAUGAAUGCAUGAAAUAAACAAAUAAGGUCUGGAUCUAAACGCCCUCACUCCCCCACAAAAAAAUGUUUACAUUCUCUCCAUUGGUGGCAAAAUCUAGGAAAGCAUUUCACUUUGGGAGUAAAAUUAUCUGGCAGUUUCUUGGGGCAGAGUGAUCACCGUUAGCAGCCCCCUCCCCUGCAAUACUGUUGUUACAAUUAGCAAUGGUGGUAACAACAUAUCUGUGUUGGUGGCAGCCAGGUGACCAUUUAGGGUCUUCCCACAGUGCCCUGGUUUUAGUGUAGUUCUGGAACACUGUUGUGGGGAUGGCAGCAACAUCAACCAAUUGUGAAGAGUAUUUGAUGAAUAUUCAGUUGAAUGCCCAUCUUUUUUGGCGUGGUGAGAGGGAGUAAAUUAUUGAAGUCAUUCACAGAAAAAAUAGAAGACAAAUUUAUCAGAAAGUCUGAGAAAUUUCAGCCCAACUCCAGCAGUCAAGGAUUUAUGUGCGAGAUAACUAAGAAGAAAUGUGCAGACUCAUUGUCCCGAUCCCAAAACAGUGAUUCCAUUGUACACAAGAAUGGGCAUCUGAAUUCAACCCUGCAUGUAUUUCUGCUUGAGUUUCUUUCUUCUUUUUCAGGCUGUUGAGUAUUGCUCUACCACCACAGGUGCAAAUGCUCAUUAAAUUGAAGUGCUAUAUCCUACAGGAAGGUAUUGCAAGCCCAGGCUUCUGCCUCAGCAAAGCUAUAUAGGAGUGAUGGAAGAGUGAUUUUGAUUGUCAAGGUUAAGUGUUUGACUGUGAAUCUAUCUAUCAUCUAUCUAUUAUCUAUCUAUCUGUCUGUCUGUCUAUCUAAUGCAUUGAAAAGCAUUUAAAGAAAAUUUCUCAUUUUUGUGUUUACAUGACAGCCUAAAACAGCUCCGAAAAGGACCUUUGGAUCCAUUACAAAUGAACAGGUAAAUAUGUAUAAAAGCCACAGGGGAUUUCUUUCUUUUGCUUAAAACCCUUUUGUUGUUAAUGUACCACAUUGUCUCUGUGUAAGUAUAAUGGAGUUGCUAACCCUUUUUCAAUAUUUUGAAUUUGAAAUUGCGAAUGUGGGAAACUUGAUUUUAAAACAAGCCAAAACGUUUGUUUUAAAUCCAAAAGGUACUGAUAUCUUCAAGAUAUCAGUAUGUGAAUGUGUAACAUCCUGUUUCAAUGCUAGUUAAGCACUGAACAGUAUUGUUCUGGGUUCAGUUGCACAUCCAGCAGCUCAUUAUCAAAUGCAUGUAUCUCACUAGGUAUUACUGAACUAUUGCAUGGCUUGCAGCUUGUCUCCACUGGAAAGUGAUGUGUGUCAGGGUUAAUGUGAAUAUUAUUGAUAAUAAGGAAGCUGUGACUAUAGAUGUGUCAUCUGUGAUGGUCCAUCACUUUAUGUAGCAGUAAUUAGGGAGUGAGAAAACUGUUUCCAGUUUCAGCCUUGCUGGCACUCAAUCAUAGGUCUUUUCAAUCCCAUUUUAUGCAGAUAUUGUAAAAGAAUGCAUGAAAGACCCAUGUUUAAGUUGUAUGCAUUUUAUGAACACUUUUUAAUCCAAAAUCCACUGUUUUAUACAUACUCUCCAAUGCAUUUCCUUAUAAAAUGCACAUUUUUUGUGUGCAGUAUUGGCGUGCAAAAAAACUCCACCCACAAAUGCUCAUUUAAUAUUGAAAAGACUUGAAACACAUGUAAAAAGGAGAGUUUAUUUGGCAGUGCAUCACGAACUCUAUGUAAGUGUGUAAUUAAGGAUUUGGGGGAAAUUCAGUUCAGCCUGCAUUCAAGGGCAAGCAAUAAUUUUCCAAAACAAUAUGUGAACUGAAACACAGCCUUCUUUCAAAAUUUGCACGUAUCCACACUUUGCGCUGCAGCUCUUUUGCUCGGUAAUGUGUUCAGAAAUGCAUAUGAAGGGCUAAACUGUUCAUACCAAUGCAUAUAUAAUGAAAACCAGAUAAAAAUGCAUUAAAUCAGAGGAAAUUGCUUGGCAAAAAAAUGUGUAUAGUAGGCAAAAAUGCAUGCAAAAAAUGUAUCCCUGAGGUUUUUUUCUUCUUACUUUAAAUCACAAACUGAUAUAGAUGCAUAGUCACUCAUUCAUAUGUGCAAUGUGACUGGGAGUUGCAUUUCAAUCCACAGAUAUGUCUGGGAGCAUCUUAUUGGUCUUCUCCAAAAAGUGGACCAAACCUAUUUCUCCACCCUCUCUAACAUGCAUGCUGUGGUAUGACUGAAGCAGAAUUGCCUUGGAUACAGCAGAGAGUUUUCUCUAGGGCCACACUUAAACUCCAUUCCUUAGGUGUUCCAGUUGGCCUUCACUCUGUCUGCAUUCUGAUGGCGCAUCAUUCUGUCUUUCCAGUAUUUUCUUACUUGUUGCUUGGUGUGUUUCAUGUGAUCUCUCACAUGGUGCAAAAACUCCUUCUGGAAAUCCAGUGGAAUCUAACUGCAGUUUAACUCUCAAUUCCUGUUAAAUGUUUUCAGGAAAAAAACACAGAUGUUUUAACCCCAUUAACUUGGAAAUUUUCAUGAUGUUUCAGCUUGCUAUAUGUCAGGAAAAUUCCUGACAUGUCCUGGUUUUCUGGUGUAAAAGUGGUGAUGGGGGGAAUUGGCAAAAUGUCAGGGAAAACCCAGAUGUAUGGCAACAUGAUGGGAAAACUUUAAAAACACUAUUUGGGGGGGGAGUAAUUUGGGUCCCCCCCCCCUGCAAAAGGUCAACAGAUAUGCAGGUGUCAGGAAUUUUACUUUUUGAAAUGGUUUCCCUAACCACCCAUGUAUCAAAAUUUUGGUUGGUAACCUGGCACCCAGUCCUUUUCCCACCCCCAACACACACACACAAUUUAGUGCGCAGUUCAUCAAUUGAAAAGCCAUGGUUCCAUAACACAAUAGGCACUGCAGAGCAAAAAGAAAUCAAGACAGAAGCACUUGCAUUAUAACUGGUAAAACUAAUGUAAUAAACGUCACAUUCAAAUGCAGCCUCUGUCUUCUACCACUCUGUUUUAAAAUGUCCAGUUUAUUUAUUUAUAUGCUGCUUGUCAACAGCAAACUCUGUCCAAAGCAUCUCACAAUAAACAUUUAACCUAUUAUCAAAAUACAUAUCAUAUCUUUUUUUUUGGGGGGGGGGGACAUAAUUACUUACAAAACAUAUAAACAAUUUGGUGAACAUAGUACAGUGAAUGCUCGGGUUGUGAGCAUGAUCCGUACGGGAUGCAAGUUCGCAACCCGCAGCAUUCACAACCCAUGUCUGUGCACACACGGGUUGCAAUUCAGCGCUUCUACACAUGCACAAAGGGUGAUUCUGUGCUUCUGUGCAUGCGCGGCUGCCAAAAUCCGGAAGUAACCUGUUCCGGUACUUCUGGGUUUUGGCGGUCCAUAACCCGAAUAAACGCAACCUGAAGCAUCUGUAACCCGAGGUAUGACUGUAUAAAUUAUGGGUGUCCCAGCCUUCCUAUAGUUGAGGAUUGAACCUCAGACCUUCUGCACGCUGUGCCUCUGACCUGUCAUUGUUUCCCAGCGGAACAUUUAAACUUGUUGCGUGUUGAGGACCCCACAGCCACCCUCAAAUAAAGACACAGUUCACACAGAAUUUUUGUUUAAGGUUUUUGGCAUACAUUUUGGCCACAGCUUUAUUGAUUACAGCAUGUGAGUGGUUGCUUAGGCAUUGGUUCAUGACUAUCUGUUCCCACUUAGAGGUAGUAACAGAACUGACACCCGCAAACCUGCAAAAGUCAGUAAGGGAAAACAUUUGGGGGGAGAGCAUAGAGCUGGGCGCCAGGCUCUCACCUCUUCCCAAAUGCUCCCAGGGGCUCUUGCCUGGCCCAUGCCCCUUGACAGGGGUUUGGACAAGAGCAUGGCAAGACCCUGGAUUCCUUUAACAGAAUACCCUUGCAGCAGCAUUGGGGAGGUCGGAACAGCCAACCAUACCCCUCCACCAACCAAAUUAACCAAGCCUAACCACAACCUUACAAGUUGUGACGAUUUCCUACGCAGUAGGCAAAAACCAAAUGGCACCAGCCAAUCAGCCAGAUGGACAAAAUUCCUACCAGGCCCCUGCCCCAAAAGCAGACGACCCCAUGACAGGCAUAGCAAGGUCAAGCAAACAACCCUAAAUAUAGGGAGGGUGGGCGGGUGAUCCAAUGCACGCAGCAAAAAGAGGAAGCUCAACACUGCGCGCAGGGAAUAAAUAGCCCCUCAACAGUCACUCAUAAAAUUGCUACACCAAAUUCUCCCCAAUUUCUGAGGGGUACCCAAUCAGAUUCAUGGCCAUCUAUACUAACCCGCCCAGCAACAGAGGAAUGUCUUGUUUGCCCCCACUGCAACACAUGCUCUCCAUGAUGGAGAACACACUUUCUCACAUCAUUUGAAUUGUGUGAUUAUUCACCGGUAUCAGGUAAGCCAUCAUGAACAAAACCUGUUGUAUCUUUUCAUGCCUUCUGCUUAAUAUCUCAUUUCCCCCUUCUUGUUUGUUUGCUAAAUUAUGAAGAAAAGUUAUUAGUGUGGAUAUUUGCUUUUUAGUGUUCCUCUGCCCUGCCCACGGAUGCUUACUUCCUUGAUGCAUAUUUCUAUAGACAUUGAACUGAAACUAUCCUUUCUCUGAAAUCAGAUGUUAUGCAUUGUAAUUGGGGGAGGGGAGGAUGUCUCUCCCCCCCCCCCCCAAUCAUAUGUGGUUGCUGAAGAAAAGCUAAACCGAGUAUGUAUUUGCAUGAAUUAAAAAUCUGUGUGUUGUUGUUUCAGGAGCUAAUGACAGAAUAAUCAAUGCACAUCUGUCAACUUGUGUGCAAAUAAAGAAGUGAAGGGAUGCUCUUCUCACCAUUUCUGUUGCUUUUUUCUGCCAAUCGUUGC